RNAcentral lists this long non-coding RNA (776 nucleotides) under Astyanax mexicanus (Mexican tetra). Its description in RNAcentral is "lncRNA (ENSAMXG00005001876.1)". Lineage: Eukaryota; Metazoa; Chordata; Actinopteri; Characiformes; Acestrorhamphidae. The record is from RNAcentral.
UUGAUUCACAGAUGCUGGAGAGAAAGCUUUAUCUUACUCAAUUCUGUAAUGUUUCUGUUGCUGUGGUUUUUCAGGAGAAAGAGAAGAGAUCCUGUAGCUGAAGACCCCAAAACAAAAGAGGAAAGCAUCUACAACAAUGUUGCAGCCAAUCAAGAUGAUGGUCUUUAUGCCACAGUUGAACCCCCCAGACCAAUGAAUCCUAGGACCGAAAAACGCUCAGCAGUUUCCCAUGAGGAGGUUCAGUAUGGUAACAUCCAGCACUGCCAUCGUCAAGAUAUAAAGAUGACAGAAGAAGAUGAUGUCCAAUAUGCUAGUGUCAACUUUUCCCGUACUUCUCAAGACCACAGAAAUGCACCUGAGGAUUCCUCUGUGAUCUACAGUGGGGUAAAAUAAUCACCUAAAUUACUGUUCAUAAAUUACCUUGGUUAUAAUUGUUUGAGAAUUGGGGCUGUUUCUUUUAAUAAGCUUUUUAAAUAGGUGUAUCCACCCGCAUUUAAACAGUAUUAAUUAUAAAUACAUGAAAAGGGCCUACUAAUGGUGACAUUGGGAACUGCUAAUGUGGGCAAACAUGGGAGGUGGUACAGAAGCAACUAUAAAGACUUUCCUUUUUUUAAAUGCUAUUUCUUCUCUAAUGUUUUUUUUUUUACAUUUUAGAUUUUGGAGAACAUGAGCUCAUUACUAUAAACAGUUAUUAGUGUGUUUUGUGCCGUAUUUUGUUGUAAUGUAAAAUAUAACUGAUGAUUUUCAACUGUUGAGAUUUCUUAAAUAUAUCAAUA